GACGAACGCUGGCGGCGUGCUUAAUACAUGCAAGUAGAACGCAGUUGCGAACGGGUGAGUAACGCGUAGGUAACUGCCUCCUAGAGGGGGAUAACUCUUGGAAACGAUAGCAAAUACCGCAUACUGUGAGCUGGCCCUGCGUUGUCUUAGCUAGUUGGUGGGGUAAAGGCUCACCAAGGCGACGAUACCUAGCCGACCUGAGAGGAUGAGAGGCCACACGGGGACUGAGACACGGCCCAGAGUCCUACGGGAGGCAGCAGUAGGGAAUCGGCGGCAAUGGACGAAAGUCUGACCGAGCAACGCCGCGUGAGUGAGGAGGGUAUUCGGAUCGUAAAGCUGUGUUGUUAGAGAAGGGGUAGCUAACCAGAAAGGGACGGCUAACUACGUGCCAGCAGCCGCGGUAAUAC
RNAcentral lists this ribosomal RNA (407 nucleotides) under uncultured bacterium. Its description in RNAcentral is "partial 16S ribosomal RNA". It matches the Rfam family "Bacterial small subunit ribosomal RNA", at positions 28 to 526 of the family's 1533-position model. The record is from RNAcentral.